UACGUAGGGAGCAAGCGUUGUCCGGAAUCAUUGGGCGUAAAGCGCGCGUAGGCGGCCCUGUAAGUCCGUUGUGAAAGUCAAAGGCUCAAUCUUUGAAAGCCGAUGGAUACUGCAGGGCUAGAGUCCGGAAGAGGCGAGUGGAAUUCCUGGUGUAGCGGUGGAAUGCGCAGAUAUCAGGAGGAACACCAAUAGCGAAGGCAGCUCGCUGGGACGGUACUGACGCUAAGGCGCGAAAGCGUGGGGAGCGAACAGG
This 253-nucleotide ribosomal RNA is filed under the name uncultured bacterium. RNAcentral describes it as "partial 16S ribosomal RNA". It matches the Rfam family "Bacterial small subunit ribosomal RNA", at positions 524 to 776 of the family's 1533-position model. The record is from RNAcentral.